RNAcentral lists this ribosomal RNA (474 nucleotides) under uncultured bacterium. RNAcentral describes it as "partial 16S ribosomal RNA". It matches the Rfam family "Bacterial small subunit ribosomal RNA", at positions 28 to 507 of the family's 1533-position model. The record is from RNAcentral.
GAUGAACGCUAGCGGCAGGCCUAACACAUGCAAGUCGAGGGAGGAGCCUUCGGGCUUCGACCGGCGUACGGGUGCGUAACGCGUAUACAAUCUGCCUUUCACAUAGGGAUAGCCCGAAGAAAUUUGGAUUAAUACCUAAUGGUAUAUAGAUGUGGCAUCACCUUUAUAUUAAAGCUGAGGCGGUGAAAGAUGAGUAUGCGUUCUAUUAGCUAGUUGGAGAGGUAACGGCUCCCCAAGGCGACGAUAGAUAGGGGUUCUGAGAGGGAUAUCCCCCACGCUGGUACUGAGAUACGGACCAGACUCCUACGGGAGGCAGCAGUGAGGAAUAUUGGACAAUGGUCGGAAGACUGAUCCAGCCAUGCCGCGUGCAGGAAGACGGCCUUAUGGGUUGUAAACUGCUUUUGCAGGGGAAGAAUAAGGACUACGCGUAGUUUGAUGACGGUACUCUGCGAAUAAGCAUCGGCUAACUCCGUG